This is a non-coding RNA of Xyrichtys novacula (pearly razorfish), 131 nucleotides long. The record is from the annotation of a GenBank genome assembly. Lineage: Eukaryota; Metazoa; Chordata; Actinopteri; Labriformes; Labridae.
AAGCAUGCUAUCCUAAGGACCCGGGCUUGUUGUGUAGCUCUCGGUUCUCCAAGUGCGUGCUAGAAAACCGGGUGGUCUUUGACUGUUGUGGCUUCUUGUGCCAUCAGCAGCCACUCAGCUGUCCAACAGUU